GACGAACGCUGGCGGCGUGCUUAACACAUGCAAGUCGAACGGAAAGGCCCUGCUUUUGUGGGGUGCUCGAGUGGCGAACGGGUGAGUAACACGUGAGUAAACUGCCCUUGACUUUGGGAUAACUUCAGGAAACUGGGGCUCAUACCGGGUAGGAGCUCCUGCUGCAUGGUGGGGGUUGGAAAGUUUCGGCGGUUGGGGAUGGACUCGCGGCUUAUCAGCUUGUUGGUGUGGUAGUGGCUUACCAAGGCUUUGACGGGUAGCCGGCCUGAGAGGGUGACCGGCCACAUUGGGACUGAGAUACGGCCCAGACUCCUACGGGAGGCAGCAGUGGGGAAUAUUGCACAAUGGGCGGAAGCCUGAUGCAGCAACGCCGCGUGCGGGAUGACGGCCUUCGGGUUGUAAACCGCUUUCGCCUGUGACGAAGCGUGAGUGACGGUAAUGGGUAAAGAAGCACCGGCUAACUACGUG
RNAcentral lists this ribosomal RNA (468 nucleotides) under uncultured bacterium. RNAcentral describes it as "partial 16S ribosomal RNA". It matches the Rfam family "Bacterial small subunit ribosomal RNA", at positions 28 to 507 of the family's 1533-position model. The record is from RNAcentral.